CUGGACUCCUCGGCCUCGGCCUCGGUUUCCUCUGUCCCCUCCGAAGGAGCGCGGAAGGGUCUUUGCUCCGUUGUGCUCCAUGGGAGGUUUUUUUUUCUGGGUUUUGCACACGAUGGAGCAGAGCUGAAGUGGAGCACGCACACACCCUGCCCCCACAAUUUUCUGGUGUGACCUUUUUGGAUAAACAAAGACCCCGGCAUAAGCUAGUGCAGAUGGAACGGCUCCAGCGGCUUGCAUGGAAACUCCUGACUGCGAUGUAGGGGAAGAGGACCAGCGGAGGGGGAGUCGCUCACGCUCGACUGGCUGUCUGACAUGCUGUCAGCUCCAUUAUUCUCCUUCCGACUUAACUUGUCUACCUUUUUAAACUUCCGUAUGGAAGCAUAUUCAGCUGCAGCUGGAUCUUGAUUGACCAGGGAAUUCACAGAGGACAGAGGAGAUCUGCUAACACCGCUCGCUCCGUUUCCUCUCCCUGCCAUGGUUCCAUUAGUGACGCCGUUUCCUCUGCCGUUCCCUCUACCAGCCUGAAAACAAAAACACACAGGUUUUCGACAGAAUGAGGAUCUGGGUGUCAACAUGGCCAUGGAAGAAGGUUUAUUUUGUUUCUGAUAAACCUGUUUGUCUUGGUUCGGUCAUGUUUUCGGUCAAUAUGAAAGUAAAUAACCCGAUGGCCAACCAUUUUAAAUGUGUUCUCAUAUGGUCCACAAGACUUCUAUUUAAAAUAUCAAGUUAUUUUAAAACAUUUAUCAGGAAAUGCACUCCUGUGGGGAUACUCAAACUCACAUCUACACAAAACCUCCAUCAUACUUAAUAGUGGGGGGGAGUUGCUUUUCCACAUUGUCAUUCUAUGUUUAAUGACAAAACUGCCAGAUCCAUUUGUUACUAAAAGAGUUUGGUCUUUGAUUAAUUUUAACAUAAGUUGGCCCCAGUUGAUACCCCAGUGAAUCAAACUCUACAUAUUUAUGUUUGCAAUGGCAGCAAAAGGCUUUGCUCUGGCAUGACUUCCAAAAUACCAGUUUGCACAUAGACAGUGUCUAAUCGUUACUAUGGAGACCUGGUUUCCCUCGAGAUGGCACUUUUUGCAGCAGUACUCCAAAAGGGAGAUUUGGAGAAGUUUUUCUUAAGCUCCCUCAUCUUCAUUUUUAUUUUGUGUGGUGGUGAUAUUAAUAUGGCUCCUUGUCUAACUGAAACGGCAGUGGAAAAGAGAAAUGUUGUUUUCAUAGACCAGGGAACAACAAAGUCAUAGGUUAAUAAUUAAAAGUAAAAAGAAACUUGGAACUUUUAAUAAGAAUAAAUAAAUUAUAAAUGCGUUUUAACAAAAACUUCCGCUACAUUUAUUUUGUAGACAUUGUUAGUGUGCCAGGAGUUGUGCCAGUGACUGAAAAAAAAUCAACUUGAAUUUAAGGUUGAAUUUUUAUGAUUUGUUUUUCAGUUUUGUAUAUUUUGUAACUGCAAUAAAACGUUGAUUCAAUUCAAUU
Long non-coding RNA from Xiphophorus couchianus (Monterrey platyfish), 1475 nucleotides. RefSeq lists it as uncharacterized. The transcript has 5 exons. The record is from RefSeq and is a predicted model, not a curated record. Lineage: Eukaryota; Metazoa; Chordata; Actinopteri; Cyprinodontiformes; Poeciliidae.